This 125-nucleotide ribosomal RNA is filed under the name Setaria italica (foxtail millet). The record is from RNAcentral. Lineage: Eukaryota; Viridiplantae; Streptophyta; Magnoliopsida; Poales; Poaceae. RNAcentral also lists the same sequence under 1 other name.
GGAUGCGAUCGUAUCAGCACUAAAACCACCGGAUCCCAUUAGAACUUUAAAGUUAAGAGUGCUUGGAUGAGUAGUAGUACUAGGAUGGGUGGGUGACCUCUUGGAAAGUCAUCGUGUUGCAUUCC